CACCGAUAAUGGAACUGAACUUGCUGUUUUCACUUUCUUCUCUUCAGUUUUAGAUGCCUCUAGCAUUGCACUUAAGACAAUGGCGGCUCCAUCGUCCAGUCGUGCUCUCACAUUCUCAAUGCAAUCCUUAUGCCUAAGCCGGCGAAUAAAUUCCUCAAAAUUAGCACGCCAAAGAACUACUUGAUUUUCUGCAGCCUCACUAUCUAUAUCAGGCUCUGAAGCAUCAAGCUUGCGCUUGUCUCCGACAUGUUUGUCAGGGGAUUUAUUCUGGUCCUUUUCUCCAUCAUCAUUUAGUUCAGAAUCCAUUACAAGUGAAAAUCUUCUUGCUUCCAUAGGCACCGCCGCUGCUGCUAGAACACGUUGUUCUAUCGCUUCUGAUUCUAUAACUAUCUUAGCAGACUUAGCACCUCGCUUCCUAGCAGGAGCAUCUUCUUCAGUU
This 439-nucleotide unclassified non-coding RNA is filed under the name Hevea brasiliensis (rubber tree). Lineage: Eukaryota; Viridiplantae; Streptophyta; Magnoliopsida; Malpighiales; Euphorbiaceae. The record is from RNAcentral.